This 255-nucleotide ribosomal RNA is filed under the name uncultured bacterium. RNAcentral's name for it is "partial 16S ribosomal RNA". It matches the Rfam family "Bacterial small subunit ribosomal RNA", at positions 526 to 779 of the family's 1533-position model. The record is from RNAcentral.
CGUAGGGUGCGAGCGUUGUCCGGAAUUAUUGGGCGUAAAGGGCUUGUAGGCGGUUCGUCACGUCGAAAGUGAAAACUCAGGGCUUAACCCUGAGCCUGCUUUCGAUACGGGCGAACUAGAGGAAUGCAGGGGGAGAACGGAAUUCCUGGUGGAGCGGUGGAAUGCGCAGAUAUCAGGAGGAACACCGGUGGCGAAGGCGGUUCUCUGGGCAUUACCUGACGCUGAGAAGCGAAAGCGUGGGGAGCAAACAGGCUU